Molecule: non-coding RNA, 343 nt
Organism: Pelobates cultripes (western spadefoot toad)
Lineage: Eukaryota; Metazoa; Chordata; Amphibia; Anura; Pelobatidae
Source: the annotation of a GenBank genome assembly
UUUGAAGACGGAGAUAACAGAAUGAGGUUACAGUGUAGAUUAGAUUUAUAAUUUGUUUUUCCUAAAACUGUAUCUUAGCUGCAAUAUAUAAUUUGCUAAAUUAUUGCUAUGAGCAUUGCUACAUGAGUUAGUUCGAACACUGCUAUUUUUCAAGUGAUGUUAUGAAAACACACACAUUAAGAAACAAGAAUUGGACGUCAAUAAGAACAUUGCUAAUAAAGGCCCUUCUAUUAUAACUAUAUUGUUUCUCUAUUUUACUUUGAGUCAUUCGAAUAUUGAGCAGUUAUACAGAUAACAAUAAAGACUGUAAUUUGUAGAUGAAGUACUCAGUAUUUUAUGGUCU